CCUACGGGAGGCAGCAGUGGGGAAUAUUGGACAAUGGGGGGAACCCUGAUCCAGCCAUGCCGCGUGUGUGAAGAAGGCCCUCGGGUUGUAAAGCACUUUCAGUGAGGAAGAACGCCUGGUGGUUAAUACCCAUCAGGAAAGACAUCACUCACAGAAGAAGCACCGGCUAACUCCGUGCCAGCAGCCGCGGUAAUACGGAGGGUGCGAGCGUUAAUCGGAAUUACUGGGCGUAAAGCGCGCGUAGGUGGCUUGAUAAGCCGGUUGUGAAAGCCCCGGGCUCAACCUGGGAACGGCAUCCGGAACUGUCUAGCUAGAGUGCAGGAGAGGAAGGUAGAAUUCCCGGUGUAGCGGUGAAAUGCGUAGAGAUCGGGAGGAAUACCAGUGGCGAAGGCGGCCUUCUGGACUGACACUGACACUGAGGUGCGAAAGCGUGGGUAGCAAACAGGAUUAGAUACCCGAGUAGUC
Molecule: ribosomal RNA, 465 nt
Filed under: Vreelandella stevensii
Lineage: Bacteria; Pseudomonadati; Pseudomonadota; Gammaproteobacteria; Oceanospirillales; Halomonadaceae
Description: partial 16S ribosomal RNA
Rfam family: Bacterial small subunit ribosomal RNA
Source: RNAcentral